Molecule: long non-coding RNA, 2210 nt
Organism: Hylaeus volcanicus
Lineage: Eukaryota; Metazoa; Arthropoda; Insecta; Hymenoptera; Colletidae
Exons: 5
Source: RefSeq, a predicted model, not a curated record
CAUUAUUUUUCUUGAUUUCUCAAGAUGUUCCAAGCUUCAAGCUUUCAUCUAAAUUUAUUUGUGCCGCCGACUUUCCAUCACAGAAUUUUCAAGAAAGUGUGAAUAGUUAUAUAACAACGACUCCCAUACAUGCACGCGCGCAUUCCGUUUCAUUUUAUGCAACACAUUACCGAGGAGUGUCAUAAAUACCGCGUCCCCAAAAGUCCUGUUACGUCCAGCCGAGGGAACCACGACUAAAACGGGAAGUGAGAUCGAAAAGAAGACAAAGUUCUCACGUUAUGCGCACGUGUUGCCAGUGGACGAACACAAAGGUGCACCGACGCCGUGUACGACGCAUCGGGACGCAUCUCCCAGGUGGCAGCCACUUUUUGGAGCCCCCCUAAAACAAGAAAGAUCUGCACCUGAGAUUAUCGUCUGAAUUCAUUAUUUUUACUCAGGGUCUGCGUUGGUUCUUGUAUUCUGAUUCAAACUGACUUAUUGGACACAGUUGAGGACCUGUAUCUGGGGCCAGUGGAAGUGGAUCGCAAACAACAAAAGGAUUGAAAUAUUACAUAAAAAAAAAAGAAACAUAUUGUUACAAGUGUCAAAGAAAAUGAAUGAAUACUUGCAUUUCAAUGAAGUCACAAAUAUAAAUACCACAAUAAACGUUUAAUUACGUAAUUUCCAAUAGUGUACAAAUAAAGUUGAAUCAAAGAAGAAAUUUUCAAUAGUGUCAGUCUGGCAGUCAACGUGUUAACGACUUAUUCUCGAGUCAUCCAUACUUUUCUGCCUCGGAUAUAAUUCCCUCUAGCCUUCCAGAUUUCAAAAACACUGUUCUAUCCGAAUGGAGGGGCAAUUAUGUUCGCGCACCGGUACGAUGCGCGUGUUUCUCGGUACGUAAUGCAACGCGAGUGCAUUUUUCCGACGCGUACUCCUCCUCGCGUGGUUGCGUAACCGCGCGAGCUCUUCCUGAAUGCGGUUGACGUAACUCUUAUCCGAGGUGCGCUGCACGUACGUAACACACGUCGAGGAAGCGCAUCCUCGCCGCUGGAUCCCCACGAGGAUACGCCCGAUAACUGUGCACGCCCUGGGGAAGGGACUGCCGAGGACCACCGGCUCCUGUCAGGCCUCGGUUCCGCGAGAUUAUCGACAACCACGAUCUCGAUAAAGCGUCGACCUCCAGAAGACCAGGCGUGCCAAGUGUUUCGAGACACGCCGAAAAUUCCCUGGAUUCUUCCUGCUUACGAUGUUUCCAAACACUGCCGUUGCGAUCGAGAAACGCUUCUACCCAGCGGCACUGGAGGAGACGCUCAUUGAGAAUAAUCUGCGUGCAUUGUCAGGACUGAAAGAUCGAUCAUAACGUUCGCUUCCUUAUUGCGGAAACCUGUCCAUUGGCUGACACGUGCGACACUCGAUGUUCGAUCAACUGGCAGUGCAGCACGGAUUAUGCAAUUCGUCGUGCGUUAUGCAACCGUGCAUCGAACGAGAAAGCGUGUGUAUGGAAUGCGCGGAGCGAAAACGCAGACGUCCGUUAAUCGAGCGUAUCUCCGCAACAGGAUCAAGGACCAGCCACCGCAGGUUGCAUAACGCCACCGAGAAUUCUGUGCGACGUACUUUUGGCGACCUUUGCGUCGAUUGGUCUUGACUGAGAGCAUCGAAGCGUUCAGGUUUUUAUACAGAAUUUGGUAAAACAAUGGAUACAAGUAGAGAAUAUUUGAAUCGUUAAAAAGUGGGAGUUUCAAAUCACCAUUUGCCUGGCCAUACGCCUUUCUCGAGAAGAGAAUUGUGAUUUUUUUCUGAAAACCUGAUUCGUUGGCCUAAUCAUCGGUAAUACCAGCGCUCCAAGAGAAAUCGGCUCGAACGGACGAAUUGCUCUUAAUAGUACACCGCGGAGGCAGACAUUUCCUGUGUCUAUGCACGAUUUACAGAAUUAUGAUCACGCACGGUUACGUAUCGCCCUUCUGGGGAACGAAAAAAACAACGAUCAUCAGCGUAGACAAGUGCCUGUACGCGAGUGUAGUUAUGUCAUCGCGAGAAGUCACCAUGAGUAUGAAGUGGAGUAAUAAAUAAAGAGAAUUAUUCUACUUUUUCUUCUAACAAACACGUUCAAACAAAAAUAAAAAAUGAAUUAAUUUUCUUACACUUACAGAAGAAGUUUCGGUUCUCAUCAUCUUCUAGAUACUUAAAUCUUUGCGGAAUCUAGAGUAAAACGUAGUUGUUUCCUAUUUUUC